GGUCUUGUGGUGUAACGGUUAGCACUCUAGACUCUGAAUCUAGCGAUGGCGGUUCAAAUCCGCCCAGGACCU
RNAcentral lists this transfer RNA (72 nucleotides) under Maritimibacter sp. RNAcentral's name for it is "tRNA-Gln". It matches the Rfam family "tRNA". Rfam says of the family: Transfer RNA (tRNA) molecules are approximately 80 nucleotides in length. Their secondary structure includes four short double-helical elements and three loops (D, anti-codon, and T loops). Lineage: Bacteria; Pseudomonadati; Pseudomonadota; Alphaproteobacteria; Rhodobacterales; Roseobacteraceae. The record is from RNAcentral.